This 205-nucleotide long non-coding RNA is filed under the name Brassica rapa (field mustard). RNAcentral's name for it is "long non-coding RNA (BRAP_LNC007800)". The record is from RNAcentral. Lineage: Eukaryota; Viridiplantae; Streptophyta; Magnoliopsida; Brassicales; Brassicaceae.
AAAACCCAUAUAAUUCACCAAAAAAGAAAUUCAAUGAUGAAGUUCAAUUAUAGUACCAUUAUUUUUAUUUAUUGAAUUGUAAAAUGGUUUUAUUUGAAAAAUCCUUCUAAAAUGAUUAAUUAUCUCCUCUGUAUGCCCCACUAAAAAAAAUAUCUUAAACAAAUAGUCCCUUGAUUGGUUUUACAUGUAAUGUUCAGUGUGCGUG